GAUCUUCGGAUCUAGUGGCGCACGGGUGAGUAACGCGUGGGAACCUACCUUUUAGUACGGGACAACGUUUGGAAACGAACGCUAAUACCGUAUACGCCCUCCGGGGGAAAGGCUUGCCGCUAAAAGAGGGGCCCGCGUCUGAUUAGCUUGUUGGUAAGGUAAUGGCUUACCAAGGCUUCGAUCAGUAGCUGAUCUGAGAGGAUGAUCAGCCACACUGGGACUGAGACACGGCCCAGACUCCUACGGGAGGCAGCAGUGGGGAAUAUUGGACAAUGGAGGCAACUCUGAUCCAGCAAUGCCGCGUGUGUGAUGAAGGCCUUAGGGUUGUAAAGCACUUUCAACGGUGAAGAUGAUGACGGUAGCCGUAGAAGAAGCCCCGGCUAACUUCGCGCCAGCAGCCGCGGUAAUACGAAGGGGGCGAGCGUUAUUCGGAAUUAUUGGGCGUAAAGGGCUCGCAGGCUGCUUGAACAGUUAGACGUGAAAUCCCCGGGCUCAACCUGGGAACUGCGUUUAAUACUAGCAAGCUAGAGUAAUAGAGAGGAAAGUGGAACUCCCAGUGUAGAGGUGAAAUUCGUAGAUAUUGGG
This 585-nucleotide ribosomal RNA is filed under the name uncultured Alphaproteobacteria bacterium. RNAcentral's name for it is "bacterial SSU rRNA". It matches the Rfam family "Bacterial small subunit ribosomal RNA", at positions 75 to 701 of the family's 1533-position model. The record is from RNAcentral. Lineage: Bacteria; Pseudomonadati; Pseudomonadota; Alphaproteobacteria.